UCCACACUCCGCAGAAAUCAAUCUGAGUCGUUCAUCACACAUCAUAGAUGAACAUCAACCUUCCAACACAGAUCGUUUGGACAGCGGUUAUUACGACCUCUAACAGCAACUCAACCCCCCAGGUAUAACGGCACCAAACAAUCUGAACACACAAAGCAAAGAUAGAUAGAGAAAUAGAGGGACAAAGGGCAGAGAGAUAGAGGGAGGAGAGAGAGAAGACAAACAACUAUUGAAGAAGAAGAAGAAAGAUCAAAAUUUUUUUUCAAAUUAUAUUCUUUAUCAACAUAAUCAACCUCCACAUCUAUCUACCAAUCGUAUCUGCUGAUCAAAUUAGCUAAAAAACUCGCUAAUUUAUACUUUUUCUUUAUUAAAUUAUUGAAGAGGCUGUACUAAUUUGCUGAGGAAAAGGUGGGAGGGGGAGAAUUUGACGGUGCUGUUUUGGGGAAUUAGGGUUUUUGUUUUUGGCUGGUGGUGGUGUGAUGGGGUUGGGGAAUAGUGAAAAUGAUGUGGUCGUUGAUGAUGGAGAUGGUGGAGAUGGUGGUGGUGGCGGUGGUGGAGGAGGAUGCGGAAAGUCGUUUGGGUCUGUUUCGUGUUCGAUUUGCCUUGAAGUGGUCACCGAUAGCGGGGAUCGAUCGUGGGCCAAGCUUCAAUGUGGACAUCAAUUCCACUUGGAUUGCAUUGGUUCAGCAUUUAAUAUAAAGGGCGCUAUGCAAUGCCCUAAUUGUCGGAAAAUUGAAAAAGGCCAGUGGCUUUAUGCAAAUGGUUGCCGUUCAUUGCCAGAAUUUAGCAUGGAUGACUGGGCCCAUGAUGAGGACCUUUAUGACCUAAGCUACUCUGAAAUGUCCUUUGGAGUUCAUUGGUGUCCAUUUGGUAGUUUAGCACGACUUCCAUCAUCCUUUGAGUAAGCUUCAUCUGAUACUUACAGAUUAGAUUUGUUCCUGUUACAAUUAAUAUACUGAGAUUGUUAAUUUGCUUUUUUUGUACCAUUCACUUUUUUUUUUUCACUCUUGUAUGCAAAUGCCUAUUCACCUGGUAUAAUGGAAAUCAAAUGCUCCUCUUAUGAUACCUGAAGCAAUGAAGAGAAGGGAAGGGAUUAGUUGACUGGGAAGCCUGAAGUUAUAACAAGGAAAAUGCAAUUACUAAAAAAUUAUGAAUUCUUGAGGCAUGGAAAAAGAUGUGUCAGCCAUCUCUUUUCUUAAUGUAUCCUACUUUAGAUUUAUGUUCUGUCAUCUAUGCCUCUCCAAUGUGCAACUAAAAUGAGAUGCAUGCAUCUUUCAGGGGUCUUGAUAUAUGAUUUACUACUUCCCUCUUAACUCUUCCCCUUUCACAUUCACGGUUGAGCAUGCAUUCAUUUUCUCACACCUGGAUUGUUUCUGGAAGUGUCCUUACAAUGGGCUGGACCUCAUGUGAUAGGCCUAUAACACAAGCAAUCAAUUUAUGAUACUGGAUCUCCUAGAAAGUUUCUACAGCUUGUUAUUUGCUCCUCAGCAAGACCUGCAUGUGGACAGUUUGGUUCUUGCUCUUCCACAGCUGACUCAUCUUUCCAGCCCAAUGUGUAUGGCCAAGGGGCGCCAGUAUUUUGUGCGAACCAACUAGGGUGUUUCAUGUUAGUUGCAAUAUGGAAGCCAGAAUGUUUUAUGCCUGUUCCACUUUGGAUUGGAAUUGAUGAAGAUUGAUUAAAGUGUGAAGGGACAUGGUAAUAUGACAUUGUAAAUCUCCUUACAAGGAGAUAGGACUACCAUUUCCCCUUAAUUGCUUGUAUAUUAUGUACUUGUAUUAUACUCUGGUCCCAUGUUGUUACUAGAGAUGAGAUGUCAAUAAUGGGAAUCGACCUUUUGCUUAUGUUCCUUGAGUUUUUGAUAAUACAGAAUGAAGGGAAGAAAAUGAGAAAUUAGGUAUACCUGAUUUUUAAAUAUGCAGAUAUUAGAAAUCAGGAAUGGAAAUGAAUGAUCAUUCUCAUUUGUGUUCACUUAUUUCUGUAAGGAACAAGAAAUUACUUCAAUAUGCUUAGUUUUUGGGUCUGUUUUCAAGUUUGGCAUUUCAGUUUUUAACAGUUCUAUUUAUCUAUUUUGCAGGGAAGGGGAAUUUUCAUCAAAUGCAUAUCAUGAUCUAGUAGGACAGCAUGCUAUCUUUGCAGAACACACAGCAGCUGUAUCAUCAGCUACUCACCCAUGUCCAUAUAUUGCUUAUUUUGGACCAAUUCAUCCAUCAUCUUCCAACUCCAAUGCAAGUGUUUCAGAUAGUUCGAAUUUUAAUAAUCACUGGAAUGGUUCUUCAGUACCUAGUGACAUUCCUAGUUCCUAUGCUUUUUCUGCCAUGGAUCUCCAUUAUCAUGGCUGGGAGCACCAUUCCCCUGCCUUCUCUACAACUAGCAGUCGCAUUGGAAAUCCUGAUCAGCCUUCAAUUCCACCCGUUACUCAAAGGCCAGCCAGAAGCAGUUCUGAUCUUUCAAGAUCAGGAUCAUUCAUGCAUCCUUUCGUUGUUGGCCACAGUUCUGGUGCUAGAGCUGGAAGCUCAGUUGCUUCCUCAAUGGUUCCACCUUACCAAGGCAGUAAUGCCCGGGCUCGUGAUAGAGUUCAAGCUCUUCAGGCAUACUAUCAACAACCUGGAAAUUCUACAGCAACACGUGCACCCAUUAUUUCUGGAACCCGAAGAUCCAGCAGUCACAGAGGAGGUUUGUCUCAACUAGGAGCGGUGGCCUCAUCAUCAGAUCAAACUGGGUUCUAUUUCAUCCCACCCGGUACAUCAGGUCGUAACUACCAAGAAGCAGAAAAUCAUCCACCAACUCGAUUUCGGGCAUGGGAAAGGGAUCACUUGCCUGCAUUCUCAUUAAGUCAAGUUGACAGAGAAUCAAAUUGGGUUGCAUUUCAUCAGGCUGCAGGUGCAUCAGAUGGUGGCAUCAGAUCGGGCAGCUUUCGCCAAAGGCAUGGAUCUGAGAGAAUGUCAUCGCAAAAUCGAUCAUAGCUUUCUUGAUUAUCCUUUUGGGUGAAGCAAACUAUCAGUACUGAGACCAAAGUUAUGUAUGCUUGAAAAACGAUAUAUAAUGCUUGGAGUCUGUCGAUCACGACAGACUGAAAAUACUGUGGAGUGGCCCUGAAAACGAUCUUUUUUUGGCAGCCACCUGGCUGUGCUGAACUUUGGCAUCCUCUAGUUUCUUUGCCUUGGAGGGUAUAAAAUAAGAUCAUGGGUUGGCUAGUAUUAGCUGCCUUGUUUAGUAGGAAUCCAUGAGAGGAAAUAUCACAAUUGCCAUGCUUAAUGUUUAGUUCCAUAUGGUGGUGCUAAGGUUGUGCGAGUUUUGGACCGACAUAAUAGUUGACAAUGUGGCUUUCACCUGAAGAGGUAUUAUAGAUUCGAGUGGCUUGUUU
This 3365-nucleotide unclassified non-coding RNA is filed under the name Hevea brasiliensis (rubber tree). The record is from RNAcentral. Lineage: Eukaryota; Viridiplantae; Streptophyta; Magnoliopsida; Malpighiales; Euphorbiaceae.